Molecule: long non-coding RNA, 728 nt
Organism: Macaca mulatta (Rhesus monkey)
Lineage: Eukaryota; Metazoa; Chordata; Mammalia; Primates; Cercopithecidae
Source: RefSeq, a predicted model, not a curated record
GGUGAGCAGCAGGUUUGAGGGUGCUGUGGGCAAGAUGCAUCUUGGGGUGCUGACGGGCAGUCUGGGCAGCUGAAGGUGUGAGGCCAACACCAGGGAGCCCCUAGGGGAGAACAGAGUUGAGGGGGUCUCUAGGGCUCAAGGUUUGGCUGAGCCACCCCAGCAGCCCCCAUUCUCCUGCUGCCUCACCUGGGCCCCAGGCAGCAGGACCAGCAGCAGCCCCAGAAGGAGGAGGUGUAGGGGGGUGCCACGCACCCUUGAGAGGAAGAGACGUUCAGGUGGUGUCAUGGGGAGAACCUGCAGAGAAAGAGAGAGAGAGACAGUAAGCGGGGCGGGGCACGCUGCGGAAGACGGACCUCCUGCCCUGGGAGACAGCACCCCCCCACCCCUGAGAGAGAGAUCGACAGAGAAGGGGACAAGAUGCAGUCAGAGAAACCCCAAGGGUCCUGCCUCUUACAAUAUGAGCUGUCAAGUUAGAUGCCUACACUUGGUAAAUCUACUCUGUUUUAAGUAAAAAUAACAAGAAGAAACAAAUCUGAAUAUGCUAGCCUAUCUCAGGUCUGGUCAGCUGCUUAUGACCUUGUUCCCCACUGAGCAGACUCACCAUCUGGGCCUUGGCGAGCAGCAGCAUGCAGUGCCGUGUCCCCAUGGCGGUCCUGGUGGGCAGGGUCAGCCCCGAGCCGAAGCAGCAGGCACAGGGCUGGGGCAUCAUGGCGGGCACAGGCCCGGUG